AGCAUUAUGAAACGGUUUCAGGAC
RNAcentral lists this non-coding RNA (24 nucleotides) under Arabidopsis thaliana (thale cress). The record is from RNAcentral. Lineage: Eukaryota; Viridiplantae; Streptophyta; Magnoliopsida; Brassicales; Brassicaceae.